UAACGGCGAGUGAACCGGGAAGAGCUCAAAUUUGAAAUCUGGCGUGCUCAGUGCGUCCGAGUUGUAAUCUAUAGAGGCGUUUUCCGUGCCGGACUGUGUCUAAGUCCCUUGGAACAGGGUAUCAAAGAGGGUGAUAAUCCCGUACUUGACACAAUGACCGGUGCUCUGUGAUACGUCUUCUACGAGUCGAGUUGUUUGGGAAUGCAGCUCAAAAUGGGUGGUGAGUUCCAUCUAAAGCUAAAUAUUGGCGAGAGACCGAUAGCGAACAAGUACCGUGAGGGAAAGAUGAAAAGCACUUUGGAAAGAGAGUUAAACAGUACGUGAAAUUGUUGAAAGGGAAACGAUUGAAGUCAGUCGUGACUGAGAGGCUCAGCCGGUUCUGCCGGUGUAUUCCCCUCAGUCGGGUCAACAUCAGUUUUGUUCGGUGGAUAAGGGCAGCUGGAAGGUGGCACCUCCGGGUGUGUUAUAGCCAGCUGUCGCAUACAUCGAAUGAGACUGAGGAAUGCAGCUCGCCUUUAUG
Molecule: ribosomal RNA, 520 nt
Filed under: Papiliotrema terrestris
Lineage: Eukaryota; Fungi; Basidiomycota; Tremellomycetes; Tremellales; Rhynchogastremaceae
Description: eukaryotic LSU rRNA
Rfam family: Eukaryotic large subunit ribosomal RNA
Source: RNAcentral